UGGAAAAACUGAGCACUACUUAAAUAACCCAUACCAGGAGGAUGCCUGACAUUUAAGUAUUUGUGUUGCAAACACAAUAAAGAACUGAAGCGUUAUGUUUUCACAGUUACAGAUGUGACCAAACAGAUGUGGAUUUGUUAUCAAUAAUCCACUAAAGCUGGGAAGACACUGUACGUUCAGUCGGCACGACUAAUUUCACAAUCGAGCUGAAUUUCUUCACCGAAUGUGGUUUGACGUGAAGGUUGAGGAGGGUCACGGUGUCCGGUCAAUCACCUGGUCGAGCAGUGAUCUGCCUCACAGAUGGGUUUCUAGCAUGUUAGAAAUUCUGGUCGGCUGUCUUCAGUGUGAGCAGUUCUACAGUCGGAUUUUUCCUCACAGCUGCUGUGAAAACAUCUGUAAUAAACUGGCCGACAUCAGCCACGAGUGAAGUGGAAGGGACCGUCGCUGCUUGGCUUAGCCUGCGCUGGGGUGUAACUGUGGGUUGGAAACAUAUCUGAAGCUGCUACUGGUGACUAGGGCUGUUAUUAUCAUCAUGUCAUGACCAGUUUCACUUGAUUAAUUGUCAUACAAGUAAUUGCAAUUAAUGUAUCUUUUUCUGUUCAUUUUAUGCCACUAUUAUUGUAUUAAUAUGCAGCUAAGUGCUAACGCUAAUGUAACUAGUGUUUAAAAAGGAUGUUUGUCUUACAGUUGUGUUUAAUGUGUUGGUGUCAUGUUUAUCUGAAAUUACUUCAUCACAAUCAGUUUGACAAAUCUGCAUCACAAAGCCUCAUCCUGUCAUAUCAUUUAACACAUUUUGAAACAUUAUUUUAUCUGUUAUUCUGUGCUGUAGAUAAAUAUUUUCCUUCCUCAAUAAAAGGUGAGGUGGU
Long non-coding RNA from Seriola aureovittata, 866 nucleotides. RefSeq lists it as uncharacterized. NCBI's taxonomy places the organism in Eukaryota, Metazoa, Chordata, Actinopteri, Carangiformes, Carangidae. The transcript has 2 exons. The record is from RefSeq and is a predicted model, not a curated record.